This is a small nucleolar RNA of Dioscorea cayenensis subsp. rotundata (Guinea yam), 107 nucleotides long. The record is from RefSeq and is a predicted model, not a curated record. Lineage: Eukaryota; Viridiplantae; Streptophyta; Magnoliopsida; Dioscoreales; Dioscoreaceae.
AAACCAUGUUGUGGGCAACGCCUCAACAAAUCCUUGUAGCGUUCCCAUUCCUCAUAAAGUGUCUCGCCGUCUUAUUGUGUGAAGGAAGCAAUAUCAUGUUGAAGCUU